AAUAUUUCGCAAUGGGGGAAACCCUUACGCAGCGACCCCGCGUGAACGAUGAAGGCCUUCGUGUCGUAAAGCUCUGUCCUCAGGGCAGCAUAAAUGACGGUACCUUGGGAGGAAGCCCCGUCUACUUACGUGCCAGCAGCCGCGGUAAUCCGUAGGGGGCAAGCGUUGUCCGGAAUUAUUGGGCGUAAAGGGUGCGUAGGCGGCCUUUUAAGUCAGAUGUGAAAGCCCACGGCUUAAGCGUGGGGAUGCAUUUGGAACUGGAGGGCUUGAGUAUCGGAGAGGGUAGUGAAAUUCCCAGUGUAGCGGUGGAAUGCGUAGAUAUUGGGAGGAAAACCAGUGGCGAAGGCGACUACCUGGACGAAAACUGACGCUGAGGCACGAAAGCUAGGGGAGCAAAC
RNAcentral lists this ribosomal RNA (398 nucleotides) under uncultured bacterium. RNAcentral describes it as "partial 16S ribosomal RNA". It matches the Rfam family "Bacterial small subunit ribosomal RNA", at positions 360 to 773 of the family's 1533-position model. The record is from RNAcentral.